This 7178-nucleotide long non-coding RNA is filed under the name Triticum aestivum (bread wheat). Its description in RNAcentral is "long non-coding RNA (TAES_LNC007615)". The record is from RNAcentral. Lineage: Eukaryota; Viridiplantae; Streptophyta; Magnoliopsida; Poales; Poaceae.
GUGUUCUUGAUUUGGCACGAUCUUGAUAUAUCGCGAGCUUUGCUAUUAUAGUUGGAUCUUAUGUUUCUUCUCCCCCUCUUCUCUCUUGUAAUGGAUUGAGUUUUCCCUUUGAAGUAAUCUUAUCGGAUUAAGUCUUUGAAGAUUUGAGAACACUUGAUGUAUGUCUUGCCGUGCGUAUCUGUGGUGACAAUGGAAUAUCACAUGAUUCACUUGAUGUAUGUUUUGGUGAUCAACUUGCGGGUUCUGCCCAUGAACCUAUGCAUAGGGGUUGGCACACGUUUUCGUCAUGAUUCUCCGGUAGAAACUUUGGGGCACUCUUUGAGGUUCUAUGUGUUGGUUUGAAUGGAUGAAUUAAGAUUGUGUGAUGCAUAUCGUAUAAUCAUGCCCACAGAUACUUGAGGUGAAAAUGGAGUAUCUAGGUGACAUUAGGGUUUUGGUUGAUUUGUGUCUUAAGAUGUUAUUCUAGUACGAACUCUAGGGCUGUUUGUGACACUUAUAUGAAUAUCCCAAUGGAUUGAUUGGAAAGAAUAACUUUGAGGUGGUUUCGUACCCUACCAUAAUCCCUUCGUUUGUUCUCCGCUAUUAGUGACUUUGGAGUGACUCUUUGUUGCAUGUUGAGGGAUAGUUAUAUGAUCCAAUUAUGUUAUUAUUGUUGAGAGAACUUGCACUAGUGAAAGUAUGAACCCUAGGCCUUGUUUCCUACCAUUGCAAUACCAUUUACGCUCACUUUUAUUGCUUGUUACCUUGUUGUUUUUAUAUUUUCAGUUUACAAAAACCUAUAUCUACCAUCCAUAUUGCACUUGUAUCACCAUCUCUUCGCCGAACUAGUGCACCUAUACAAUUUACCAUUGUAUUGGGUGUGUUGGGGACACAAGAGACUUUUUGUUAUUUGGUUGCAGGGUUGCUUGAGAGAGACCAUCUUCAUCCUACGCCUCCCACAGAUUGAUAAACCUUAGGUCAUCCACUUGAGGGAAAUUUGCUACUGUCCUACAAACCUCUGCACUUGGAGGCCCAACAACGCCUACAAGAAGAAGGGUGUGUAGUAGACAUCAAGCUCUUUUCUGGCGCCGUUGUCGGGGAGGUUAGUGCUUGAAGGUAUAUCUUUAGAUCUUGCGAUCGAAUCUUUUUGUUUCUUGUUUUAGCACUAGUGUAGUUUAUAAAAGAAAACUACAAAAAAAUGGAAUUGAGUUUGUCUCAUAUGCUUCACCUUUUUAAUAUCUUUCGUGAGUAUGAUGGAAAAGAAAAUUGUGCCAAAGUGUUAGAAGAAGAAUGCAUUAAAAUGUUUGGCACUAAACCUUUGAAUGAUGAGCAUGAUUGCAAUGUUGUUAGUAUGAACUCCUUGAAUGUACGGUACUAAUGAUGAUUGCACUAGUUAUGACGAAAAUGUCUCCUAUAAACAUGUCAAUUUUUGUGGAGUGGAUUGGGUUUGCAAGUACACACCAAAUAGGGAAGAUAGAUAUUGCAAGAGGCAUAAGUACUUAGAAACUAAAUUGUUGCAAGAAAGUCUUGAUGAUUGCGCUGAAAGAUUCAAUAUUUUUCGCGCCCCUUGUGAACUUUGCAAUGAACAUGGUCAUUUAAAGCUCCAAUGCUAUUUGUUUUAUGAUCAAGUCGUGUCCAAAUAUUGUGAUAAUUUGAUUACCCUUGAGCAUCAUAAAGAACUUAGCCUUCUUUUGGGUUAUAAAUAAAUGAAACGUAUAACUGAGGGUAUUCCAAAAUUUAAUCUUGAUAAAAUUCUUGAUUUUGAUCUAGAGAAGAUUUAUAUGUAUUGUACGGUGAAUUGCAUUAAAAAUCCUUACAUUGACAAUUACAUAAAGAAAAGAAAAAAAUAGAAGAAUAAGAGAAUGCUAAUGAAAGGGAAGAGACUUCCCAAUAUCCUCCUAUUAUUUCUUAUGAUAAAUCAGGUAACGAGAAGGAGCCUUCUAUUCAACCAAUCUCAUUAUUAAGGAGCUCCAAAAGGAGGAUUGAACCCACACAUGAUGUGGUGAAGAAGAAGAAAAGAAAAAGGAAGAGAGGUAAAAUGGUAUCUCUCCUAAAUAAGAUUGCUCCUAUUAUUGUUGUGCCUCAUGAAAAUGAAUCAAAAAUAAUUGUGGGAGAUGAUGCAUUUGAUGAUGAUCUAGUUAUGCCUAUUGCUUGUUGUGAUGAUUAUGAUUGGGAAGAUAAUGAUACUCCUUAUGAUCUUGAAAAUCUUUUUGGCACUUGCUUGGAAGAAUAUAAUAAUUGCUAUACUAUUGGUGUUAUCCAUACUAUUAAUGAUGAGAGUGAUUAUGCUUAUGAUAUGAAAAGGCCCAAGCUUGGGGAAGCUAUGUUUGAUGAAGAUGAUGUUUUUGAGAAUAUAUUUGCUGCUAUUAAUGUUUGUCCCAAGCUUGGGGAUGCUACGUUUAAUAAUGAUGAUAUUUUUAGCCUCUCAAGUUUUGAUAUGCAAAGUUGUUAUGAUGAUAGCAUGCCUUCUACCUAUGAUGAUUAUAUUGAUGAAAGUGGAUUUGGAAGAGUGUCAACUUUAGGAAGUAAUGAUCCCACUAUUUUGGAGUAUGUUGAAUCUUAUAAUAUUUAUGAAAGUGGAUUUGGAGAGGUCAUGACUUUAUUUAGUGAUGUAUCGACUAUUUCAGAAGAGGUUUCAAUCGAUUAUGAUGAGAACAAAGUUGCUACCUAUGAUGAUUAUUGUGAUGAAACUUAUGCUAUAAAAAAUAGUGAUGAUUAUAUUUAUAAAACUUGUCAUGAUUAUGAUUACCCUUUUUCUGAACAUUACUCUUUUAAUGUGGAAACAAUUUAUAGUAUUCAAGUCUCUUAUAAUACUCCCACUAUUCCGAAUGAGAAGAAAUUUGCUUAUGUGGAGAGUAAUAAAAUUUCUAUGCUAAUAGAUCAUGAAAAGGAUGCUUUAGGUGCUGGCUAUAUUGUUGAAUUCAUUCAUGAUUCUACUGAAAAUUAUUAUGAAAGAGGAUCAUAUGCUUCUACAUAUUGCAAUAAUAUCAAGUUUUCUCUCUAUGUGCUUAAAAUCUUGAAGUUAUGCUUGUUUUACCUUCCUAUGCAAGUUGAUUCUUGUUCCCAUAAGUUGUUUGCUCACAAAAUCCCUAUGCAUAGGAAGUGGGUUAGACUUAAAUGUGCUAGUCAUAUUCUUCAUGAUGCUCCCUUUAUAUUUCAAUUCUUAUCUUUUUGUGAGCAUCAUUGAAAUCAUCAUGCCUAGCUACGGGCGUUAAACGAUAGCGCUGGUUGGGAGGCAACCCAUCUUUAUUUUAGUUUCUUGCUUUUUAGUUCUGUUUAGGAAUAAAUAAUCCAUCUAGCUUCUGUUUAGAUGUGGUUUUGUGUUUCAAUUAGUGUUUGUGCCAAGUAGAACCUUUGGGAAGACUUGAGUGAAGUCUUUAUGAUCAUGCUGUAAAAAAUAGAAACUUUAGCGCUCACGAGAUUAGCUAAAACGUUUUACUGGAGAGCGCUAUUUAGUUGAUUCUUUUUGCAGAUGAUUACUAGACAAAUUCCUCAGGUCCACCAAUUUAUUUUAGAAUUUUUGGAGUUCCAUAAGUUUGCGUUAGUUAUAGAUUACUACAGACUGUUAUGUUUUUGACAUAUUCUGUUUUCAUUGUGUUGCUUGCUUAUUUUGAUGAAUCUAUGGCUAGUAAAAUAGUUUAUAAACCAUAAAGAAGUUGGAAUACAGUAGGUUUAACACCAAUAUAAAUAAAGAAUGAGUUCAUUACAGUACGUUGAAGUGAUGUUUUGUUUUCUUUCACUAACGGAGCUUACGAGUUUUCUGUUAAGUUUUGUGUUGUGAAGUUUUCAAGUUUUGGGUAAUGAUUCGAUGGACUAUGGAAUAAGGAAUGGCAAGAGUCUAAGCUUGGGGAUGCCCCGGAAGGCAUCCCCUCUUUCGUCUUCGUUCAUCGGUAACUUUACUUGGAGCUAUAUUUUUAUUCACCACAUGAUAUGUGUUUUGCUUGGAGCGUCAUUUUAUUUCCGUUAGUUUUGCUUGCUGUUUAAAUAAAAUACCAAGAUCUGAAAUUCUUAAAUGUUAGGGAGUCUUCACAUAGUUGCAUAAUUAUUCGACUACUCAUUGAUCUUCACUUAUAUCUUUCGGAGUAGUUUGUUGUUUGCUCUAGUGCUUCAUUUAUAUCUUUUAGAGCAUGGUGGUAGUUUUAUUUUGAAGAAAUAGAUGAACUCUCAUGCUUCACUUAUAUUAUUUUGAGAGUCUUAAAUAUCAUGGUAAUUUGCUUAAAUAAUCCUAAUAUGCUAAGCAUACAAGAUUUGUAGAAUUCUUAUGAGUGUGUUGAAUACUAAGAAAAGUUCAAUGCUUGAUAAUUGUUUUGAGAUAUGAAGAUGGUGAUAUUAGAGUCAUGCUAGUUGAGUAGUUGUGAAUUUGAGAAAUACUUGUGUUAAAGUUUGUGAUUUCCGUAGCAUGCACGUAUGGUGAACAGUUAUGUGAUGAAGUCGAAGCAUGAUUUAUUUAUUGAUUGUCUUCCUUAUGAGUGGCGGCCGGGAACGAGCGAUGGUCUUUUCCUACUAAUCUAUCCCCCUAGAAGCAUGCGCGUAAUACUUUGCUUUGAUAACUUCUAGAUUUUUGCAAUGAGUAUAUGAGUUCUUUAUGACUAAUGUUGAGUCCAUGGAUUAUACACACUUUCCUUCCUUCCACCAUUGCUAACCUCUCUAAUACCGCGCACUUUUCGCCGUUAUCAUACACCCACCAUAUACCUUCCUGAAAACAGCCACCAGACCUACCUAUCAUGGCAUUUUCAUAGCCAUUCCGAGAUAUAUUGCCAUGCAACUUUCCACCGUUUCAUUUAUUAUGACACGCUCCAUCAUUGUCAUAUUGCUAGCAUGAUCAUGUAGUUGACAUCGUAUUUGUGGCAAAGCCACUAUUCAUAAUUCUUUCAUACAUGUCACUUUUGAUUCAUUGCAUAUCCCGGCACACCGCCGGAGGCAUUCAUAUAGAGUCAUAUUGUUGUUCUAAGUAUUGAGUUGUAAUUCUUGAGUUGUAAGAAAAAUAAAAGUGUGAUGAUCAUCAUUAUUAGAUCAUUGUCCCAGUGAGGAAAGGAUGAUGGAGACUAUGAUUCCCCCACAAGUCGGGAUGAGACUCCGAACGAAAAAAAAGAAAAAAAAAGAAAAAAGAGGCCUAAAAAAGAGAAAAGGCCCGAAAAAAUGAGAGAAAAAGAGAGAAGGGGCAAUACUACUAUCCUUUUACCGCACUUGUGCUUCAAAGUAGCACCAUGAUCUUCAUGAUAAAGAGUCUCCUAUGAUAUCACUUUCAUAUACUAGUGGGAUUUUUUAUUAUAGAAUUUGGCUUGUAUAUUCCAAUGAUGGGCUUCCUCAAAAUGCCCUAGGUCUUCGUGAGCAAGCGAGUUGGAUGCACACCCACUUAAUUUCUUUUGUUAAGCUUUCAAACACUUAUAGCUCUAGUGCAUCCGUUGCAUGGCAAUCCCUACUCACUCACAUUGAUAUCUAUUGAUGGGCAUCUCCAUAGCCCGUUGAUACGCCAAGUUAUGUGAGACUAUCUUCUCCCUUUUUGUCUUCUCCACAAUCACCAUAUUCCACAUAUAGUGCUAUAUCCAUAGCUCACGCUCAUGUAUUGCGUGAAGAUUGAAAAUUUUGAGAAUGUCAAAAGUAUGAAACAAUUGCUUGGCUUGUCAUCGGGGUUGUGCAUGAUUUAAAUACUUUGUGUAGUGAAGAUAGAGCAUAGCCAGACUAUAUGAUUUUAUAGGGAUAACUUUCUUUGGCCAUGUUAUUUUGAGAAGACAUAAUUGCUUUGUUAGUAUGCUUGAAGUAUUAUUAUUUUUAUGUCAAUAUGAACUUUUGUCUUGAAUCAUUCGGAUCUGAAUAUUCGUACCAUAAUUAAGAAGAAUUACAUUGAAAUUAUGCCAACUAGCAUUCCACAUCAAAAAUUAUCUUUUUUUAUCAUUUACCUACUCGAGGACGAGCAGGAAUUAAGCUUGGGGAUGCUUGAUACGUCUCCAACGUAUCCAUAAUUUUUGAUUGCUCCAUGCUAUAUUAUCUACUGUUUUAGACAAUAUUGGGAUUUAUUAUCCACUUUUAUAUUAUUUUUGGGACUAACCUAUUAACCGGAGGCCCAGCCCAGAAUUGCUGGGUUUUUUUUGCCUAUUUCAGUGUUUUGAAGAAAAGGAAUAUUAAACGGAGUCGAAACGAAACGAAAUCAACUGGAAAAAUUAUUUUUGGAUGGAAAGCUACCGGAUGGACUUGGACCCCACGUUAGGAGCCAAGGGAGGUGCUCACGAGGGUGGGGGGGGGGGGGCGCCCACCCCCCUAGGGCGCGCCCCCUGCCUCGUGGGCCCCCCGAAGCUCCACCGACGUACUCCCUGCAUCCAUAUAUACCUACGUACCCUAAAACUUCCAGAACAGAGAUUAAAUCGGGAGUUCCGCCGCUGCAAGCCUCUGUAGCCACCAAAAGUCAAUCGGGACCCUGUUCCGGCACCCUGCCGGAGGGGGGAACCCUCACCGGUGGCCAUCUUCAUCAUCCCGACGCUCUCCAUGACGAGGAGGGAGUAGUUCACCCUCGGGGUUAAGGGUAUGUACCAGUAGCUAUGUGUUUGAUCUCUCUCUCUCUCUAUCUCUCUCUCGUGUUCUUGAUUUGGCACGAUCUUGAUGUAUCGCGAGCUUUGCUAUUAUAGUUGGAUCUUAUGUUUCUUCUCCCCCUCUUCUCUCUUGUAAUGGAUUGAGUUUUCCCUUUGAAGUAAUCUUAUCGAAUUAAGUCUUUGAAGAUUUGAGAACACUUGAUGUAUGUCUUGCCGUGCGUAUCUGUGGUGACAAUGGGAUAUCACAUGAUUCACUUGAUGUAUGUUUUGGUGAUCAACUUGCGGGUUCUGCCCAUGAACCUAUGCAUAGGGGUUGGCACACGUUUUCGUCGUGAUUCUCCGGUAGAAACUUUGGGGCACUCUUUGAGGUUCUAUGUGUUGGUUUGAAUGGAUGAAUUGAGAUUGUGUGAUGCAUAUCGUAUAAUCAUGCCCACAGAUACUUGAGGUGACAAUGGAGUAUCUAGGUGACAUUAGGGUUUUGGUUGAUUUGUGUCUUAAGAUGUUAUUCUAGUACGAACUCUAGGGCUGUUUGUGACACUUAUAUGAAUAUCCCAAUGGAUUGAUUGGAAAGAAUAACUUUGAGGUGGUUUCGUACCCUACCAUAAUCCCUUCGUUUGUUCUCCGCUAUUAGUGACUUUGGAGUGACUCUUUGUUGCAUGUUGAGGGAUAGUU